GUAUAGGUUUUAUUAUUAUUAAUAAAUUAUUAUUAAAUAAUUGUAUUUAAAUAUACAGCCACAGAAGGUGCCAGCCCUGUUAUUUAAUAAUAUUUAUUAAAUUUAUAAAACUUUAGAGUCGUGUUGCUUGGAAGUGCAGCACAAAGUUGGUGAUAAACAUCAUCUAAGGCUAAAUAUUCCUAUGAAUCCGAUAGCGAACAAGUACUGUGAAGGAAAAUUGCAAAGUACUCCGGAGAGAGAGUUAAAGAGGACGUGAAACCGAUACGAUGGAAGCAUACAGAGCCAGUUGCACUAUUAUUAAUAUUUUUUUAUUAAUAAUUUUAAGCAUGGGUAUAUUGAUUAUUAAUUAGUUAUUUAUUAAAGAGUGAUAAAAUUUUUUAAAUUUUGUUAACUUUAAUAAAAUAAUUAUAUUUAUAAUUAAUAUUAUAUAAUUAUUAAUGUAUUAAUAAUAUUUUAAUUAUUAAUAUAAUAUAAGACACAUGUGUUAAAUAUUAUUUAUUAAUAAUUAUUAUAUUAUUAUAAAUUAAUAA
RNAcentral lists this ribosomal RNA (530 nucleotides) under Strongyloides stercoralis. RNAcentral describes it as "partial 28S ribosomal RNA". The stretch from base 1 to 261 matches the Rfam family "Archaeal large subunit ribosomal RNA", at positions 289 to 548 of the family's 2987-position model. The record is from RNAcentral. Lineage: Eukaryota; Metazoa; Nematoda; Chromadorea; Rhabditida; Strongyloididae.